CGGUGCAGAAACAACCAUGGAAAACAUUAUAUGGAGAAUAUCUCAUUGCAUACGAGUAUUUCGCUGAAAAAGAAAAUUCUGUGAAAUCAACAUUUUGGGCUACAUAGUCGUUGUUAAAGUCAACUCUGUUAAUAUAAAACAGCAUAGAUAUAAUCUAAGUACACCAAGUUCUCAAGCAAAAAAUAUAGGUUAUGUUUCCCAGAAAUCAAAUAUAGUUACAAGAGAAAACUUACGAAAAUUUUUAACAGAGGCCCGUGAUUAAUGUACCUAAUGUCAAAGGUAUAUUUUUUAUUCGAAGUUGUAGGAGUAUGCGGAAUGGAAGAAUUUGAACAAUUUUCUUGUAUCUACAUAACCUAUAAUAAGCUUUUAUUAUUAUUACAGAACAGAUUAUUAGCUUACAUGCCCAUUUUAAAUGAAAAAAGAUCUGCAGCAAUUGCAAAAUAGAGAUGGAUAGCUAUAAUAACAAGAAGUUUACAUGCAUUCAACCGA
Zophobas morio is the source of this 489-nucleotide long non-coding RNA. RefSeq lists it as uncharacterized. Lineage: Eukaryota; Metazoa; Arthropoda; Insecta; Coleoptera; Tenebrionidae. The record is from RefSeq and is a predicted model, not a curated record. The transcript is spliced from 3 exons.